UUUUGGUAGAUAAAAAGAGGGGGUUUAAUUGUUAGAGUCGAAGCAAGAGGAGGAGACGAGAUCAUGAAUACUGGGUUUUUGGAGGGAUUCUAUCUAGGGUUUCGAGUGCGAUGGCAUUGGAUGCGCCCUACCUGUUGAAGCUCCUCCUAAGGUAAUGAGUCCCUCAAUGGCACUGAAGGGACAAAUUCAGUUAAAGUUGUGAAUGGAGUGGCAGUUGUACAAGGAAGGACACGCACUCUGGUUGAGAGGUUUGAAAGGAGAGAGAGGGAGAUUAAAUAGUGAUGAAGUUCAGGCACCCGAUACAACCCCUCAAAUAAUACCUGAGAUGGCUAAAAUAUCCCCUAUGUUGGUAUGGUUUUCCCUCCUAAAAUAGUUAUCUUCUAUGGCUAUUAUGCAUAGAUAAAUUGAUAUGUAAUUUGGUUUCAAUUUAUAUGACCUCUCACUCACACAGGAUAUUUUGAAUUAGUAGACUACAUUAUUUUGUUAUAUGCAGAUCCUAAUAGUCCAAAUCCAGUUACCUUCACCUCUACCGUGUCUAGUUGCCGUCAAUUAUCACCAUAAAGAACUGGUCACUAAACCAUAAUUAUUACAAGAUAUCAACAAA
Non-coding RNA from Camellia sinensis, 604 nucleotides. The record is from RefSeq and is a predicted model, not a curated record. NCBI's taxonomy places the organism in Eukaryota, Viridiplantae, Streptophyta, Magnoliopsida, Ericales, Theaceae.